Molecule: ribosomal RNA, 253 nt
Filed under: uncultured bacterium
Lineage: Bacteria
Description: partial 16S ribosomal RNA
Rfam family: Bacterial small subunit ribosomal RNA
Source: RNAcentral
GACGUAGGGCGCGAGCGUUGUCCGGAUUUAUUGGGCGUAAAGAGCUCGUAGGCGGCUUGUCACGUCUGCUGUGAAAUCCCGGGGCUCAACCCCGGGCGUGCAGUGGAUACGGGCAGACUUGAGUACUGCAGGGGAGACUGGAAUUCCUGGUGUAGCGGUGAAAUGCGCAGAUAUCAGGAGGAACACCGGUGGCGAAGGCGGGUCUCUGGGCAGUAACUGACGCUGAGGAACGAAAGCGUGGGUAGCGAACAGG